RNAcentral lists this transfer RNA (76 nucleotides) under Brunnivagina elsteri CCALA 953. RNAcentral's name for it is "Calothrix elsteri CCALA 953 tRNA-Pro". It matches the Rfam family "tRNA". From Rfam's summary of the family: Transfer RNA (tRNA) molecules are approximately 80 nucleotides in length. Their secondary structure includes four short double-helical elements and three loops (D, anti-codon, and T loops). Lineage: Bacteria; Bacillati; Cyanobacteriota; Cyanophyceae; Nostocales; Calotrichaceae. The record is from RNAcentral.
CGGGAUGUAAUUCAGUGGUCAGAAGCCAGAGUUUGGGACUCUGGAGUCGUAGGUUCAAAUCCUACCAUCCCGACCA